CCAAAUAUUCCUGUACCGAUGUGUAGUGCGAUGUGGGGACGGAGAAGGUUAGCUCAUCCGGGUGUUGGAUGUCCCGGUUCAAGCCUGUAGUCGUGCCUGGUAGGUAAAUCCGCCGGGCUUAGAUGAGGGGUGACAACGAGGCGGCUUGCCGCCGAAGUGAGCGAUACCCUGCUUCCAGGAAAAGCCACUAAGCUUCAGCUGCACACGACCGUACCGCAAACCGACACUGGUGCGCGAGAUGAGUAUUCUAAGGCGCUUGAGAGAACUCAGGAGAAGGAACUCGGCAAAUUGACACCGUAACUUCGGGAGAAGGUGUACCUUUAGUAGGUGAACCUGUACAAGGGGAGCCCAAUGAGGUUGCAAAGAAUCGGUGGCUGCGACUGUUUAAUAAAAACACAGCACUCUGCAAACACGAAAGUGGACGUAUAGGGUGUGACGCCUGCCCGGUGCUGGAAGAUUAAAUGAUGGGGUGCAAGCUCUUGAUUGAAGUCCCAGUAAACGGCGGCCGUAACAAUAACGGUCCUAAGGUAGCGAAAUUCCUUGUCGGGUAAGUUCCGACCUGCACGAAUGGCGUAACGAUGGCCACACUGUCUCCUCCUGAGACUCAGCGAAGUUGAAAUGUUUGUGAUGAUGCAAUCUCCCCGCGGAAAGACGGAAAGACCCCAUGAACCUUUACUGUAGCUUUGUAUUGGACUUUGAACAGAUCUGUGUAGGAUAGGUGGGAGGCUUUGAAGCAGGGUCGCUAGAUCUUGUGGAGCCAACGUUGAAAUACCACCCUGGUGUGUUUGAGGUUCUAACCUUGGCCCGUUAUCCGGGUCGGGGACAGUGCAUGGUAGGCAGUUUGACUGGGGCGGUCUCCUCCCAAAGCGUAACGGAGGAGUUCGAAGGUACGCUAGUUACGGUCGGACAUCGUGACGAUAGUGCAAUGGCAUAAGCGUGCUUAACUGCGAGACUGACAAGUCGAGCAGAUGCGAAAGCAGGACAUAGUGAUCCGGUGGUUCUGUAUGGAAGGGCCAUCGCUCAACGGAUAAAAGGUACUCUGGGGAUAACAGGCUGAUACCGCCCAAGAGUUCAUAUCGACGGCGGUGUUUGGCACCUCGAUGUCGGCUCAUCUCAUCCUGGGGCUGUAGCCGGUCCCAAGGUAUGGCUGUUCGCCAUUUAAAGAGGUACGUGAGCUGGGUUUAAAACGUCGUGAGACAGUUUGGUCCCUAUCUUCCGUGGGCGCUGCAGAUUUGAGGAAGCCUGCUCCUAGUACGAGAGGACCGGAGUGGACGCACCUCUGGUGUAUCGGUUGUCACGCCAGUGGCAUUGCCGAGUAGCUAUGUGCGGAAGAGAUAACCGCUGAAAGCAUCUAAGCGGGAAACUCGUUUCAAGAUGAGAUCUGCCGGGGCCUUGAGCCCCCUAAAGAGUCGUUCAAGACCAGGACGUUGAUAGGCUGGGUGUGGAAGCGCAGUAAUGCGUUAAGCUAACCAGUACUAAUUGCUCGUGCGGCUUGACCCC
Molecule: ribosomal RNA, 1500 nt
Filed under: metagenome
Description: bacterial LSU rRNA
Rfam family: Bacterial large subunit ribosomal RNA
Source: RNAcentral